Long non-coding RNA from Mya arenaria, 430 nucleotides. RefSeq lists it as uncharacterized. The transcript has 3 exons. The record is from RefSeq and is a predicted model, not a curated record. Lineage: Eukaryota; Metazoa; Mollusca; Bivalvia; Myida; Myidae.
UUUUGUCAUGGACGGUUGAAAAUAGAGGGACAGGGUCAACGAAGGAAGAUUACUGGUUAGACAGGAUUUACUGGAAAUUGAAUGACACGAAAGGAAAUAAUGAGCAUACGUUUGUUGAAAUCUGGCACUCAGGCGAACUUCAGGCUAGCCAAAAGUAUUCGGUCAAUACUUCUCUACUUAUACCGGAAUUUACGUUUGGUAGUUUUUGGAUGUUCGUCGAAACUAAUUACGGAAACAGAGUUUUCGAGUAUACAGGAGGCAGCAACAACAUUAAAAUGCUACAGACACCAAUUGAAGUUAAACUAUCACCGACACCCGAUUUAGUGGUUAGUAACAUAUCCGUAUCUAAGCAGUCCUUCACAACAGGAGAGACUAUUCACGUUGAUUGGGCAGUAGCCAAUAGAGGACAUACCACACCACAUUCUCAGAC